CUUGGUACUCUAUGUGGGGCAUGACAGAACCAAUGGUGAGUUGGGAAGGGGUAUUCGCGUUGUCUCUGCAAUGGACGAUAAGACAUGAAACUGAGGCCGAGCUGUCUGAGGGUGGAGCAAUUAAGGGGGCAUUUCAGACAUCACUCUUCCCCAUGUGGCAGGAACAGUAGACCCCCCCCCCCGCUGUUAUGUACCUCUCUAAUGAAGGGAAUCCGCUGUUCUGUACCCCAGUCCUGGAAGGCAGCACAUAUGGGAUGGGGUCCUAAGCACCCUGUGGCAUCAGUAAGACAUGCCACUAAAGCUGAGCUGUCUGUCCAGCUUGCCUGUCUAAGAAGGGAAUUACAAGGAGAAAAAGGUGGAGAUGGCUGUGUGUCCUCUGCACCCUCCCCUGAAUUGGCAGGAAAGAGAGGAAA
RNAcentral lists this long non-coding RNA (413 nucleotides) under Rattus norvegicus (Norway rat). RNAcentral's name for it is "long non-coding RNA NONRATT026249". Lineage: Eukaryota; Metazoa; Chordata; Mammalia; Rodentia; Muridae. The record is from RNAcentral.